UGGGCAACUCUUGAACAUAAUAAACCCACUAACUUUAUAUGGCAUUGAAUAUAUCACAACCAAUAUGAUAAUAUGCCUAUAAUUCUUUGUUUGCAUAUAAAUAAAUUAAGUAGUACAUAAAUUAAUCUUAUAAUGUACAAAUUUAUACUUUUAUGCAAUAAAACCACAUAAAAAGACCUUAUUAUAAUUAUCAAAGAAUUUU
This 202-nucleotide long non-coding RNA is filed under the name Elaeis guineensis (African oil palm). RNAcentral describes it as "long non-coding RNA (EGUI_LNC062127)". Lineage: Eukaryota; Viridiplantae; Streptophyta; Magnoliopsida; Arecales; Arecaceae. The record is from RNAcentral.